AUUGAACGCUGGCGGCAGGCCUAACACAUGCAAGUCGAGCGAGCGGCGGACGGGUGAGUAAUGUAUGGGGACUGCCCGAUAGAGGGGGAUAAAUACUGGAAACGGUGGCUAAUACCGCAUACUAUCGGAUAACCCAUAUGGGAUUAGCUAGUAGGUGGGGUAAAGGCUCACCUAGGCGACGAUCUCUAGCUGGUCUGAGAGGAUGAUCGGCCACACUGGGACUGAGACACGGCCCAGACUCCUACGGAGGCAGCAGUAGGGAAUAUUCCACAAUGGACGCAAGCCUGAUGCAGCAAUGCCGCGUGUAUGAAGAAGGUCUUAGGGUUGUAAAGUACUUUCAGUGGGGAGGCGUUACCCACAGAGAAAGCAACGGCUAACUCCGUGCCAGCAGCCGCGGUAAUAC
Molecule: ribosomal RNA, 403 nt
Filed under: uncultured bacterium
Lineage: Bacteria
Description: partial 16S ribosomal RNA
Rfam family: Bacterial small subunit ribosomal RNA
Source: RNAcentral